UGAAGUUAAAGNCAUUGGCUCAACCAAUGUAUGCUUUGGAAACUGUUAGACUUGAGUGCAGAAGGGGAGAGUGGAAUUCCAUGUGUAGCGGUGAAAUGCGUAGAUAUAUGGAGGAACACCGGUGGCGAAAGCGGCUCUCUGGUCUGUCACUGACGCUGAGGCUCGAAAGCGUGGGUAGCGAACAGGAUUAGAUACCCUGGUAGUCCACGCCGUAAACGAUGAGUGCUAGGUGUUAGGUCCCUUCCGGGACUUAGUGCCGCAGCUAACGCAAUAAGCACUCCGCCUGGGGAGUACGACCGCAAGGUUGAAACUCAAAGGAAUUGACGGGGGCCCGCACAAGCGGUGGAGCAUGUGGUUUAAUUCGAAGCAACGCGAAGAACCUUACCAGGUCUUGACAUCCCGAUGCCCGCUCUAGAGAUAGAGUUUUUCUUCGGAACAUCGGAGACAGGUGGUGCAUGGUUGUCGUCAGCUCGUGUCGUGAGAUGUUGGGUUAAGUCCCGCAACGAGCGCAACCCUUAUUGUUAGUUGCCAUCAUUGAGUUGGGCACUCUAGCGAGACUGCCGGUAAUAAACCGGAGGAAGGUGGGGAUGACGUCAAAUCAUCAUGCCCCUUAUGACCUGGGCUACACACGUGCUACAAUGGUUGGUACAACGAGUCGAAAGCCGGUGACGGCAAGCUAAUCUCUGAAAGCCAAUCUCAGUUCGGAUUGUAGGCUGCAACUCGCCUACAUGAAGUCGGAAUCGCUAGUAAUCGCGGAUCAGCACGCCGCGGUGAAUACGUUCCCGGGCCUUGUACACACCGCCCGUCACACCACGAGAGUUUGUAACACCCAAAGUCGGUGAGGUAACCAUAUAGGAGCCA
This 861-nucleotide ribosomal RNA is filed under the name uncultured bacterium. Its description in RNAcentral is "bacterial SSU rRNA". It matches the Rfam family "Bacterial small subunit ribosomal RNA", at positions 590 to 1451 of the family's 1533-position model. The record is from RNAcentral.